ACUCCAUGAAGUUGGAUUCGCUAGUAAUCGCGCAUCAGCCAUGGCGCGGUGAAUACGUUCCCGGGCCUUGUACACACCGCCCGUCAAGCCAUGGAAGCCGGGGGUGCCUGAAGUCCGUAACCGUGAGGAUCGGCCUAGGGCAAAACUGGUAACUGGGGCUAAGUCGUAACAAGGUAGC
RNAcentral lists this ribosomal RNA (178 nucleotides) under uncultured bacterium. Its description in RNAcentral is "partial 16S ribosomal RNA". It matches the Rfam family "Bacterial small subunit ribosomal RNA", at positions 1315 to 1500 of the family's 1533-position model. The record is from RNAcentral.